AGUGAACGCUGGCGGCAGGCCUAACACAUGCAAGUCGAGCGGCAGCGCGGGGGCAACCCUGGCGGCGAGCGGCGGACGGGUGAGGAAUUCGUCGGAAUCUGCCUUUUUGUGGGGGAUAACGUAGGGAAACUUACGCUAAUACCGCAUACGUCCUACGGGAGAAAGUGGGGGACCGCAAGGCCUCACGCAGAAAGAUGAGCCGACGACCGAUUAGCUAGUUGGUGGGGUAAAGGCCCACCAAGGCGACGAUCGGUAGCUGGUCUGCGGGGAUGAUCAGCCACAAUGGGGAGUGGACACGGGCCAGAACCCUAAGGGAGGGAGCAGGGGGGAAUAUUGGGAAAAGGGGGCAAAGCCUGACCCAGCAGAGCGCGGGUGGGAAGAAAGGCUUCGGGUUGGAAAAGCACUUUUUGCGGAAAAAAAACCCCGGGGCUAAAACCCUCCGGGGGGUAAGGGACCCGGAAAAAAAAGCACCGGCUACCUCGGG
RNAcentral lists this ribosomal RNA (484 nucleotides) under uncultured bacterium. RNAcentral describes it as "partial 16S ribosomal RNA". It matches the Rfam family "Bacterial small subunit ribosomal RNA", at positions 30 to 506 of the family's 1533-position model. The record is from RNAcentral.